Molecule: non-coding RNA, 74 nt
Organism: Podarcis lilfordi (Lilford's wall lizard)
Lineage: Eukaryota; Metazoa; Chordata; Lepidosauria; Squamata; Lacertidae
Source: the annotation of a GenBank genome assembly
GAAGAGCCGUAGCUCAGGGGUACAGCAUCCGCUUUGCAUGCAGAAGGUCCCGGGUUCAGUCCCUGGGAUCUUCA